GCCGGUGGGCUCGGCCUUCUUAUAUAAGUAUAACCCGUCUUUAUCUUCUUACUGAGGAUGGUCAUUUGAGCUAGCAUAUAUUUCAAACUUAUACUUUUGUAAUCACUCCGAUAAAAUAAUAUAAAAUUUUUGUAACUUGUAAAAUUUGGUAAUAAGAUUUCCGCUGCAAAAAUAUUGGUGUGUGUGAUUUGUGUUACUUAAUCUCGCGGUUCUGGUUGUAAGUGGUUUAUCCGGUGUCCUUGGGGCAAUCGGACGGAUCCUGUUAAGUUAUCUGGUGCACAUGCACGGCCGUCUGAGGUCUUUGAGACAAGGACAGGUGCAUGUGGGCCCGAUAACUUGGAGGUUCUGCCACAGCUGGUAUCGGAGCUGGAUUAAGUAUGUACGAUCACAUACGUAUUUUCAAAACAAAAGUUUUGGUUUUAGAACACCUAUCUUCAACUAAACACAUUGUUUGGUUUUGAAAAUCAGAUUUGAAAAACUAUAAUGCUAGCGACAUCCUCUCUUAAGCCCUAAAUUAAGGACUAUCAGGUGGCUUAGUUGAAAACCACAACCGGGUGGGUAUUGCAUACAUGUGUAUUGUUAUUUUUAAGGCCAUUCAGUUUUGAAUGGAUCGAUGCUCAGGUAAGGUGAGAUGUGAGAGCAUGACCGAACAAACGUCGGUCUAGGGAAGAGCAUAAAAAGCGCUUGAUUAUAUACAUGUUCCACAUAUGUAUAUAUGAAGGCUGCGAUGUGGAGUAUUUACUUUUCUGGGAAUUCUGUACCCCAUGGAUGUGUAUGGGUAUACAGACAUGGGAAUACUGAGAAAUGUAAUGUACUUGUAACGACGCACCUACGCUCAGGUAAGAAGGUGAGUUACCAUAAUGAGUUGCCCUAUGGUUAAAGUGUGGCAACAGCGCCUAUGCGUGGCUCGGCGCUUAAUGAUGAGCUGGCCUCCAUAUAGCAAUAUAUGGAGUAUAAACUGUGAUAAACUGUCAUGUGUGAAUUGCAUCAUGGGGAAUUGGGCUGUGAUGAAUUUUCUGCAGGUAUACUAACCUCGAAAACGUAUGUGUAGCUGACGACUAGCAAAAUACCGUGAGAGUCGUAAAUAUGCCACCGAGAUAGAACGCUAAUGCCACAUUAUGUUGGCAAAACUCGUGAGGACGUGUAGGACGAGCAUGCAUCCUGAUUGUUGCAUCAUGUUUGUCACCUAUACACCCAAGAUGCUUCUCUCAUCCUUAUUCCAGUAACCAGUGAUUGUAGAUAAUGUGGUGUAAUGUUGUAUUAUGAACUUCGAUAAAAUAGUUGUUCUCCGUUCCUUAGGUAUUAUGUUUAGAUGCUAUAUGUGUUUGCCCUUGUGCUUGAUGUGUCGAUAGAAGGUUAGUGACUUGUUUUGCCUAAACCCAAAAUUAGGCCAUGUUCUUAUUAGGUAAACUGAGACCCAAAUUUGAAUUUACCAUUAUCCCUCUACGACUAAACUCAUGUAAAUGAAUGUUUAGAUAAUUUCUUUGUUGGACAUAAAAUGUACCCAACCUUAAAUCAAGGAUCUCAAACCAUGUCUCCUUCUAGAACCAUUUCCUUGUUCAGUUGAUGCAAGUUGAGGUCUCUAUGGUAUUUGGCCUCUCCUUGUGGAUUACCAUGUUACUUUAUCGACCCAACCUAGGAAAGACAUGUCCAACCAUUUUUCUGGAAUUUGAUGUCUUUGGUUUCCCCCAUAUCUAUCGAAGGCAUUCCAACUUAAUCUUAAUAUUGUUUUCCCCUGUAUCUAGUCAGAUACUGAUCCUUGACCUUGUGAUCUCUACGAUGGGCAUAGAAAUAUGCUUGGGGCUGAAGCAACAGUCUCCCGUCGUACUCCUUUCAUCAAAUUUAGGUUAUGGCCAUGCCUUGUUCAUUUCAUCGGGCCAUGAUCUAUUUGGCUCUCUACUUGUAACCAUUCUUACAAGUGGAGUCUAUUUUUGUAUAUUGCCAUCCUUGCUCAGUCUAUUUGUGUCGCGCGAGAUUUCUUAUUGGUUACGUCUGGUAAUGGCGUUAUGACUAAAACCAAUGGUGCCGUGACGAAACCGAGGGCCUCCUAUGGAUGCACACACAUGGUUGCGCUACUUGGCAUCCGCUGGUAUCACCGUUAGUAGUCAUAAUCCAUUAUUAGACUAUAUCGAUAUGUUAUCUUUACGUAGAUUAUUCUUACCCUGCGAGAUUCAUUAUUAGUGCCAGUUCGAUAAUGGCGUCUCGAUUAAUGACUUAUGAUACCCCGGCGAAACUAAGAGCCUCCUGUGAAUGUGCACACAGGAUUCUGCUGCUUGGCGCAUGCUGGUAUCGGAGCCUCUAGUCAUGAUCCAUUGUGGAACUACACCGAUGUGUGGUCUUCCGUGGACUCCUUCUUUGAAACAGUUUCUAUGUUGUUUCUCAAGUUAUCAAGCAACAUCUAUCAUCUUUGCCGGAUCAAAUGGACAUACCACUUUCAUGUGUGGUCUUAUUUCUUUUGAUCUUGGUAGUGACUACUCAUACAAGUUCCCUUUACAUCCUUUGUGUAAAGAUGAAGCCUUAGAGCGUUUAGUGUCGAGAGACAGCUGAUUAGCUCCCAAAAUGGAGAUUGGCUUUUUCCCCUGCUGUGGAGAUGCAGGAGUUUGUUCAUUCACUCUCUUAUUCAAUCCAUUUAUUCCCAAACCAAGUCAGUGGAUAAUUCAUCUCGCAUGAAGAAACAGAUGAACAACCUGACCAAAUGAAUUUCCACCCAAGUGCAUGAUCUCCUGUUAGCCAAAGUAAACUCUCGAUCGUUGGCUUACCGAUGGUACUGAGAGGACCGACUCAAUGUCAAAAGUAGUUCAACAAGUUGGUUUUUACUAACUUGUAACUGCAUUGUGAAUAAAGUUUGAGUUUAGAGAUUGUUUUAUCGAGUUAUCUAAACUCACUUUAGUUCAACCCAUCCUAAGAAAGUACUUACGAAAAUCGAGAUUAGGUCAACUAAUAACCACCUAGCCAUUGCUCUAGUCAUGUCUCGAUCGCCUCACGUGUGCUUUUCCAGCAUGUGUGACCAUAUCAAGCCAUGAUUAGUGCUCGAUAAAAUGGAUUUGUUACAAAAACAACAUUUACAGAUCCCUCCGUUGGUGAUGUUCUCGAAUCUAUAUCACCUUUCAGGGACUUGGAUUUUCUGGCUAGCCACGGGUCAACUGUGAUGUUAUUCGACAUUCACACCCAUCUCGUGUGCUAUGAACUUACCGUGACCACUUGUUGGUAAACCUCUUUCUGUAUGUUUUACCCAAGAGGUUGCAUCUGAUUCUGUUUUGGUAAAAUCGCGUAAUUGCCGCUCGCUCAAUAGACUCAGAUAGUGCAAUGUCAUCAGAAAAAGCAAACUGCACACAUGGAACCUUAUGUGUUCCUCUGGCAGACAUUGUCUCUAUUGUUGGACAUCUCUAAAUUAGCCUAAGGCGAUACAUGUUAUGUCCACUAGAGAAACAACAUCCUGAGACACUCGCCUUUAUUUGGAAAUGUCUCAUGAUUAUCGCUGAUAUGGACAUGGGUUACAUGCUUCUCUACUCUUAGAAGUCUUUCGUUUCAAAUCUCGGGACGAGAUUCUUUUAAGGGGGGAGGGGUGUAACACCCUUGGUGUUUAUAUUCCGCUCGACAACGAGUAUGGAUUUAAGCACGUAAUAUCAGUGGAUAAAACAAAUGUUAAAUUUUAAUUAUUCUCUCUAUCGCGAUUUUAUAUCGCAUCUAUUUCGUCUGUCGCGAGUGCGACAUCGUUUUUUUUAUUUUUAUCUAUCCGGGCUCGUCCUAAAUUUUCGUGCUGUUCGGAACAUAGUUGUUCCAAAAAUCGGUGCGUCCGGUGAUUAUUUAAAAUUCAUCGCUCGCGUGAAUACGAAUUCGGAAGUCCGAUCCACUCGGAUGAUUUUACCUCGAACAGAUUAAGUAGAACUCGACGACUAAGUUUUCGAUGCAAAUAAUUAUGUCCCCACUCGUCAACUGAGAAGUCGCGUCCAAGGAAUUAUAAUUGAGAUCCGAUUCUCCGCGUAAAUUAUCUGUGGCCGUGGAAACGGGUGUCGAGACCACGGAUAAAAGUUUCCGGUUUUGAAUUAAAUCCAAUCUAGCGCAGUCUAAGAUAUCAAAGAUAAUGACGUGGUCUGGUACUAGUUUAAAUAAAGUUAAUCGAUUUAGACGAACUGGAAAGGUCAACUAAGUAUUUCGCUCUGUUCGAGCGAUCCCUACGAAUUUGGUAGAAACACUACUAGGGGCGGGCUAUUUAAAUAAACCAAACUCGAACUAACCAAAACCAGAACAAUGGUUAGCCGAUUCGCUUUCCUAUUUAAAAAUCCGAGAAAAUAAUCUAUUAUUCGAUAGCGCUUUAAAUUGGCGAUAGCGCUUUAAAUUGGCCCGUUUACUCCUUAUUUUAAAUCCAAAUCCCAAUAUUCAGAACAGAUGAGGUUUAUCUGUUUUAAACCAAAUUUGACAUAGUUUGAAUUAUCCAAGCCGAUCUUGUUUGGUUGGGUUCGUGUGUUCCUCGCCUAUAUCCAAAUCUUCAGAUAUAAAUAACAGAUAACUUUUAUCUGGGUUCAACUAAAUUAAUGGUGUCUCAAGUAGUAUAUUUGUUUUAGUCCGGUUCAUUUAUAUCUCACCCAAACUCUAAUUCUAGCACCAGUAUUUCUUAAGAAAGAAAGAAGAAAUAUCCUAUUUUUCUAAUAGCCCUCGACCUUGGAAAACUCUUGAAGACACGCUCAACCUUAUGUCCUUGCCCAGUUUCUGGACGCAUGCGAGGGACCAAAUUCUUUUCUUCUACGCAUGCCAGAGACCAAAUUCUUUUCUUCUACGCGAGCAUAAGCCUCUUCUUUGUAUUGUCCCGCCGCCCUCCAUCAGGAUAUUUUCUCAGGCCCUUGUCUGUAUAUAACGCUCAUCGGCCUGAUCCAUUUUCUGAAAAAAAUCUCAUUCUCUUUCUUAUCCAUCCAUCGCUCAGCAGGAGCUUAUUUCUUACACGUCUCCAGCGUUCACUCAGGCGUCUUAGCAUUCUUUUCUCUGCUCCUCUCGGCACUCGUCUCAGCACUUCUUCCUCAGGCCGCAACCCUUCUCUGCCAUUUGUGCUUGGCUCCCAGAAGCUGCCGAGCUAGACUCCUCGUCGUGCGCUGUUGUGCUGCUCCAUGUCCGACCGUUCGUCUCUAGCUCGCCAUGGCUGCUCCAGAUCCUGCUCGCGAGUUUCCCAGCGCCGUCAGCUUGCCGGCAUCCAGCUCGCCUGUAUCAUGGCCGUCGCGCCGUCUUUACUCGUUGGCCGUGCGUUGCCGCGCACACGCGCCCGACACCCCGGUUCCUCUGUACGCCUUGGUUGCGCGCGCCGAACUGCGUCCUUCGCAGCUCGCUGGCUUUAGCUGCAGGACACCACCAGCCGUGCCUUCGUAUCCUGUGUCCUCGACUCGUCCACAGUGUCACUCGCGAGGUGCUCGAGGUAAUGGCAGAAUUGAAAAUCGUAGCUGUGCUCAUGGCCUUCAAGACAUAUUAAGUUAUUGGUACGAUAAUUGAUCGUGUGAUGCGGAAGACGAGCCAAGUCGACCCCAAGCGCGGACUACUCCGCAUGGAGAUGCUGAUAAACGAACCUACCUGAUCAAGUGCUAGGACAAGGAUGAUCGUCAAGUGGACGUCACCUAACAACACUAACGUAGUGUUUAUUCCAGGCAAGCCCCGGUGCAUGCAACCCCUUCCUUGUGUUUUUAAAUAAUUUUUGCACACUUUAAGUCUAGUGAAAUGUGCAUUAGGUUUAUAGGAGUUGCUUGGAAACCCUUUGAUGCAUUGCCUUCCUUGAAAUCCAUACCUUUAUAGAUACUUCUGGUGAAGUAUCAAAAUAUGAUUUACAAAAAUGCUUAGCCCU
Zea mays is the source of this 5824-nucleotide long non-coding RNA. RefSeq lists it as uncharacterized. The transcript is spliced from 2 exons. The record is from RefSeq and is a predicted model, not a curated record. Lineage: Eukaryota; Viridiplantae; Streptophyta; Magnoliopsida; Poales; Poaceae.